GACGAACGCUGGCGGCGUGCUUAACACAUGCAAGUCGAACGGAAAGGCCCUGCUUUUGUGUGGUGCUCGAUUGGCGAACGGGUGAGUAUCACGUGAGUAACCUGCCCUUGACUUUGUGAUAACUUCAGGAAACUGGGGCGAAUACCGGGUAGGAUCUCCUGCUGCAUGGGGGGGGUUGGAAAGUUUCGGCGGUUGUGGCUGGACUCGCUGCUUAUCAGCUUGUUGGUGGGGUAGUUGCUUACCAAGGGUUUGACGGGUAGGCGGCCUGAGAGGGUUACCGGGGACAUUGGGACUGAGAUACGGAGCAGAAGGGUACGGGCGGCAGUAGUGGGGAAUAUUGCAGAACGGGCGGAAGCCAGAUGCAGAAACGCCGCGUGCGGGAUGCCGGCCUUCGGGUUGUAAACAGAUUUCGCAUGUGACGAAGAGUGAGUGACGGUAAUGGGUAAAGAAGCACCGGCUAACUACGUG
RNAcentral lists this ribosomal RNA (468 nucleotides) under uncultured bacterium. RNAcentral describes it as "partial 16S ribosomal RNA". It matches the Rfam family "Bacterial small subunit ribosomal RNA", at positions 28 to 507 of the family's 1533-position model. The record is from RNAcentral.